Molecule: ribosomal RNA, 253 nt
Filed under: uncultured bacterium
Lineage: Bacteria
Description: partial 16S ribosomal RNA
Rfam family: Bacterial small subunit ribosomal RNA
Source: RNAcentral
UACGUAGGGGGCAAGCGUUGUCCGGAUUUAUUGGGCGUAAAGAGCGUGUAGGCGGCUUUGCAAGUCCGUUGUGAAAACUCGAGGCUCAACCUCGAGACGCCGGUGGAAACUGCAAAGCUAGAGUCCGGAAGAGGAGAGUGGAAUUCCUGGUGUAGCGGUGAAAUGCGCAGAUAUCAGGAGGAACACCGGUGGCGAAGGCGGGUCUCUGGGCCGAUAUUGACGCUGAGGAGCGAAAGCGUGGGGAGCGAACAGG